GUCAGUUAGGCCCUGAUAGCACUCCGGCAGGUUAGGCUCUGGUUAACUAGCUUCCCCUGGGUGCAGGCCUUGUUAAGUGGAACAGCGCAUUCUGGCCUAUUUAAAAGUGGUUCCUUUCCCCCUCCCCCUGCCAGGGCAAAGUGAAUUUUCACGCCGUUUACUACAGGAACGUGGUCGAGCUCCUGGAGGUAUAGGUAACCUCAGUACACAGACAGAUUAUGUGACCUCUCAGUCUGUGGCAAUCCUGGAGAACCUUCUGCAGGCCUUCCCGACAGUGAAAUGCCUAACUGUGCUUUUCCCUGGAGUUUUCACCAUCAAGUUUCCUUACCUGUAGAAAAGAGAUGAUAAUAAUGUUUGCCUUGUCAGAUUACACAGACAAUUAAAUGACCAAAUGGAGCAACAGUGUACGGCACAUGGUCUCCAAAAUGGUAGCUGAAGCUGAUCUAGGGGAUAACACCCUCUUUCUACAACUCCUUCUUCCAAGAUUUUUGUCCUGGGUCUACCUAUGCGUUAUUGACGGACCAUCUUCUUUAAAGACACUGCUUCUUUAUAUGUGUCAUUCCACAGAGCAGUUAACAAUAAUGUCACAUUACAAAUCAAGAUUCUCCAUAAAAAGCAAAAUAAUUUUGACCUGUGUCAACAAUGGAGCCCAUUCAUAUGCGAGAUGUAUUAUGCAUCACAGAUCAACUACGGACAUUGCUGGUAUCACAGACAACGUUUCGAAGGGUGUUUUAUACUAGUUUUAAUAUGUAAGCUAUUAAGAUAAAAGACCUUGCACUUGUCGCUCUGACAGUGUUUUAAAAGGCUAAGCUGCCCAAUUUGUCUUUCAUUAAAAGCUCUGGUGCAGUUCUGUGAUUUGUAGUCACUGAGCCGUCGAGAUUUCAGAGCGUACAAUUCUAUUUUGAGAAAUUUUUUUUUGUCAAUAAAAAAGGCAUAUGCUUGAAUGAGUCAUCUUAACAGAGCAAACUCACAAGAAGGAGUUGACCUGCACUUCCGCCCGCUGCUGAAUUUUCCCUACCUUUCCUUGUUAGCACACAGCUUGCCCUGUGCCUCAUACCACAGUGAAACCAGAAAUGUGGAGACAAGGUCUCCUUAGCCCAUAUGGUUUUAUUUGUGUUCUGCUGGCACAGUUAUAGUCAUACAGUAACCAACAUAAAUUUUUAGUUUUAUUAUCACCUCUAAAAAGAGACAGAAAUGUGAAAAUUGAAGCCAGAAGGUUUGUAUCACAGGAUUAAUUAGGCAGGGCCAACUGGAGUCUCGCUCCUCCUGGCAGCAAGAGCCUCAAGAAGGUGCCUGUCUUCAAUUACGGAGCGCACAAAGCAAUUAAAAACCCUGUUUCUUUUUCCUGAGGUGUUACUUGUUACUUGAUAAAUCUCUUUUUUCAAAUUCUCCAGGGAUCUGAACUGGCUUGAGGUGCAAUCUACCAGGGUAGAUAUUCAUGAAAAAUUGAUUUAACUCGAGCCUAAGUGCAAUAGGUUUAAAAUAAACCUGAAAGGAAUGAAGAGUGUGUUUCUUGGCUGACAUUUUAUUGGCCACUUUUUUAAUGCACAAAAGACUAGAUAAUUAAGAAUUGAGACAUUAUGGAUCUCCACCUGGAGAUAUGAAUCGAAUUGGUCAGCCAUCCCAGGCAUUUUUUCCAAAGUCACGCUACACAUUUGAUUAACCUUUUUCACAGGGCGAUUUGUACAAUUCCAUGGACAACACUGUGGUGCAUAAGUCAGAAUUAAGUGCAUGCCUUCCAGAACCCACAUCCCCUUUCUAAUAGAAAAUCGUCUCUGUAUGAAAUUAUAUCUUUCUACUUGAUUUAUGUUCUAGUCCAGUGGGAUUUGAAACUUGGAUCUGUUGUUCUAUUUCUCCAAAAGGAACUUUUCUUGCUUUUCACGGUUAUUGUUGAGAAUAACAUUAUUAUUCUACUUCUGGAACUAUUUAUAAAUAUUCAGAAGCGAGUUUCAAUUGUCUUCUGUACAGCUAGUUUUGCAGCCUGGGAUUUUACUAGUAGUAUGUAAAUCACCUAGCUAACCCUUUCCUUUGAAAUAUAAAUAAUUUAAAAUAUGCAAUAAGUACAGAGUGUAACUGGUAGAAACAAUAGUGCUCUAUCAAGACAUAUGGGCUUAAGCUUAUCAGUGAUCUCAUACUUCCUGUUGAAAAGAGAAGCAAAAUAUUUUUUAAAUCAAUAAGCUAAAAACCAUGAUUGUAAAUACGGAAUGAGAUGCUACUUUCACUUGAAAAGCAUAUUAUGUACAAUUUAAUAAAACAACAAAAGCAGUAAUAGGCUUUGGUCUAUGUUAUUUUCUUUGGUUGUGUUUCUGAAUUAAAAAUGUUUACUGAAGAAAGUUAAUUGUGAUAAAGAUAAUAUUUUAUCUCCUCACUUUUUCUAUCAUGUUCUUUCUUCAAGUUUUAUUAUUAAUGUAAGGGUUAGGCAAAUUAUUUUAAAAGGAUUGUUUAAUAAAUGCCAAGAUAGUA
This 2463-nucleotide long non-coding RNA is filed under the name Equus caballus (horse). RNAcentral describes it as "lncRNA (ENSECAG00000046800.1)". The record is from RNAcentral. Lineage: Eukaryota; Metazoa; Chordata; Mammalia; Perissodactyla; Equidae.